This 253-nucleotide ribosomal RNA is filed under the name uncultured bacterium. RNAcentral describes it as "partial 16S ribosomal RNA". It matches the Rfam family "Bacterial small subunit ribosomal RNA", at positions 524 to 776 of the family's 1533-position model. The record is from RNAcentral.
CACGAACCGUACGAACGUUAUUCGGAAUUACUGGGCUUAAAGGGUUUGUAGGCGGCCACGUAAGUCAGGUGUGAAAUCCCUCGGCUCAACCGAGGAAUGGCGCUUGAUACUGCGUGGCUUGAGGGAGACAGGGGUAAGCGGAACUGAUGGUGGAGCGGUGAAAUGCGUUGAUAUCAUCAGGAACACCGGUGGCGAAAGCGGCUUACUGGGUCUCUUCUGACGCUGAGGAACGAAAGCUAGGGUAGCAAACAGG